UCCCAGGUUAAAAGAAUCCAUGGUUAAGGAACAAGGCUACAUUUUCCUUUAUAUCAGUAGCAUGCUACUUAGUCAGUGUCUGAAGAAAGAGGAUCAGAAGAGCUCAUAAUCAAGCAAUCUCUUUUGAUGCUGCAUAAAACCAGAACCAAGGAUAACAGGAUGGAUUAUUUACAUCUUCAAGGACCCACAAAGAAGAGCCUGUUGUUUGUUGUUCAUGACUGUCUCUGCAGCAGCAUCUCUAAAUCCAGCUGGACACACCAGAAGGCUGACAGCUAAGAACCUGGGUGCUGCAUUUGAGAUCCCAGAAGGAGCAGAUGUGGUAGUCGUGGUGGUGCUGUUGUGAUGAGAUGUCUGGACAGCUGAUGUAGCUAUUUCUUUUAUGAAACAUUUUUACUGGACGAUGUUUGUCAUAUAGUUUCAUAAAUAUUUCUUGAAAUUCUUCACAUUCACUAUUUAUAUUGUUUUGCCGAUAAACAGGCUCCCAGUUAUGUGACAAUAAAUUGUUCUUCAAAGUU
Long non-coding RNA from Girardinichthys multiradiatus, 515 nucleotides. RefSeq lists it as uncharacterized. The transcript has 3 exons. The record is from RefSeq and is a predicted model, not a curated record. Lineage: Eukaryota; Metazoa; Chordata; Actinopteri; Cyprinodontiformes; Goodeidae.